Non-coding RNA from Pteropus alecto (black flying fox), 143 nucleotides. Lineage: Eukaryota; Metazoa; Chordata; Mammalia; Chiroptera; Pteropodidae. The record is from Rfam.
GUCUAAGGCCAUGCCACCCUGAACAAGCCCGAUCCCAUCUGAUCUCAGAAGCCCGAUCCCAUAUGAUCUCGGAAGCUAAGCAGGGUCCGGCCUGGUUAGUACUUGGAUGGGAGACCACCUAGGGAGACCAGGUGCUGUAGACG